GACUAAGCCAUGCGAGUCAAAUGUUCUUCGUGAACAUGGCGUACUGCUCAGUAACACGUGGAUAACCUGCCCUUAGGUCUGGCAUAACCCCGGGAAACUGGGGAUAAUUCCGGAUAGAUCAUGGAUGCUGGAAUGCACCGUGGUCGAAAGCUUUUGUGCCUAAGGAUGGGUCUGCGGUCUAUCAGGUUGUAGUGGGUGUAACGUACCUACUAGCCUACGACGGAUACGGGUUGUGGGAGCAAGAGCCCGGAGAUGGAUUCUGAGACAUGAAUCCAGGCCCUACGGGGCGCAGCAGGCGCGAAAACUUUACAAUGCGGGAAACCGCGAUAAGGGGACACCGAGUGCCAGCAUCCUAUGUUGGCUGUCCAUAUGUAUAAAUAACAUGUGUUAGCAAGGGCCGGGCAAGACCGGUGCCAGCCGCCGCGGUAACACCGGCGGCCCGAGUGGUGGCCACUAUUAUUGGGUCUAAAGGGUCCGUAGCCGGUUUGGUCAGUCUUCCGGGAAAUCUGACGGCUUAACCGUUAGGCUUUCGGGGGAUACUGCCAGGCUUGGGACCGGGAGAGGUAAGAGGUACUACGGGGGUAGGAGUGAAAUCUUGUAAUCCCUGUGGGACCACCAGUGGCGAAGGCGUCUUACCAGAACGGGUCCGACGGUGAGGGACGAAAGCUGGGGGCACGAACCGGAUUAGAUACCCGGGUAGUCCCAGCCGUAAACUAUGCUCGCUAGGUGUCAGGGACGGUGCGACCGUUUCUGGUGCCGUAGGGAAGCCGUGAAGCGAGCCACCUGGGAAGUACGGUCGCAAGGCUGAAACUUAGAGGAAUUGGCGGGGGAGCACUACAACGGGUGGAGCCUGCGGUUUAAUUGGAGUCAACGCCGGGAA
RNAcentral lists this ribosomal RNA (880 nucleotides) under Methanomethylovorans sp. enrichment culture clone AM5. RNAcentral's name for it is "bacterial SSU rRNA". It matches the Rfam family "Archaeal small subunit ribosomal RNA", at positions 42 to 924 of the family's 1478-position model. The record is from RNAcentral. Lineage: Archaea; Methanobacteriati; Methanobacteriota; Methanomicrobia; Methanosarcinales; Methanosarcinaceae.